Non-coding RNA from Ceratotherium simum simum (southern white rhinoceros), 244 nucleotides. The record is from RefSeq and is a predicted model, not a curated record. NCBI's taxonomy places the organism in Eukaryota, Metazoa, Chordata, Mammalia, Perissodactyla, Rhinocerotidae.
AAGCUGUCCCCCUCAGAUUAGCAAGAUGUACACUCUCCCCACUCCCAUUCAACAUUGUGCUAGAAGUUCAAGCCAAAGUAAUUAGGCAAGAAAAAGAAAUAAAAGGCUUCCAGUUUAGAAAGGAAGAAGCAAAACUAUCUCUUUUUUGCAGAUGACAUGAUUUUGAAUGUAGAAAAUCCUGAGGAAUCCACUAAAUUGAAUGAUUAGAACAUAGUCCCUACUUUCAAGGCAUUCCCAGGCAAGG